UUUCUAACCUUCUAACCAUGAAAUAAAGACGCACUACAGGCAUGGAAAUAGUAUUUGCUUAACCACUGUAUUUCACUUAACGUAUGUCACAACUUUUAGUUUAUUUUGAGUAUUUCAUCAAACCACAAAGAUAAUGGUUCAUGGAUGAUGUUCUGACAUCUAUACUUUAAACAAUAAUGUUAUCAAUAAAAAAUCUACUCAGACUGAGACCACAAAAGUUCACGAAAUAGUUAUCUUUAGUUUGGUCAACAUAUCAAAUUAUAGCAGUUGUAAACUUGAGUAUAUUUCUUUCAAACACCAAACUGGGUCCAAACAAAGGUAGUUGGUAAUGUGUUUUGGGUAAAAUAGAUUAUUCCAAAAAUGAUUUGAAUAAUCUUUGGUCAAACGCUAUUGCAAUAACUGUGAAAAUUUUGUUGCAUUGAGUGCUAUAAGUUGCAUGUGAAGAAGUUAAGUAGGGCAACAAUUUCUAAAGUAUUUGUCUAAUUCCUCUCUCCUAAAUAGCUCGUGGUUUUGCUUUUUUUAUUAUUAUGAUUGACAAUAAAUUCAUACCUCACCUCUGUAGAGUUCUUUCCAUUUUUCAAAACAUGUUGACAUUUAUGAUUUUGUUUUCCUUCUCACAAUAUACCUGGGAGAUAGGCGGUGUGCCCGAAAGGUCUGGUUCCACCUGGUUUCAACACAACUAGAAUUAUCUGCUGAGCUCCUGGCUAUGCAGCGGGACAAUAAGUCCCAGGCUCCUUACACCACGUGACUGAAUUCUGCCAACGCAAUGUGAGUAGAGAGGACGGUACAGCCUCCAGGUGGGGCACUUACACAGCCACAUUCUUCCCCUUCCCCUCUUUCUUUGUCACUGGAUGAAAUGCGGGUAUCAUUUGCCCUGGAAAUGCACAAAGGUCAUGCACCUAUCUGGGCAGGAAUUUUUUCCCUGUUCUUCCUCACGGUUUUAAACUCCUCCCCAGACACUGUGUGAGAAAACAGACUUUAAGUAUUCAAUUGAGAAGAGAGAAAAAAAGGACAUACAUACUGAAAUAAGUAGAGAUGAUUUUACAUCUGCAUUUAUUCCUUCAUUAAAAAUUAUAUCGAUCGUAUUCUUCUGUGAACACGUAACGGAAAUAUCAGCGUGGAGUCUUCGAAGGCUAAAUAACAGUUUAUCCCAAGAUGGAGGGGCAAAGAAGUAGAGUGAUCCUUCAGAUUGACUUUGUACCAAGACGGAGCAUACAAAAGGUAGACGAUGCUUCUCUGUGUUCCCUGUACAAACAUUUGCAAGACUCCCACAUGGGAGGCCCACGCGUACCUUCAGCUCGAUCCUGGCCCUCUCAGAAACCCAUGGGCAGAAUAAAAACUCAGAGGCACUGCUGGGGCCAGAACCCCAACUACAGGCCUCAAUGCUAGUUUCUCAGGGGACAUCAGGAGCUGUGAAGGUAUAGCAGUCUCUCUACAAGUCACAGAGAAAAGGUGUGUCCUCUUUCUGGGUUAUACUCAGAUGAGCAAAACAACCCGGGGUCCUAGAGCUCUCUGGGGAAAACCUUUUAGCUCUGUUUCUCCCAGUCUCUGACUCUGGUUCUCUUUUAAACACACACACACACACACACACACACACACACACACACAUUUUUUCAAGGUUUAUCUCAGUACCAGGAACCCAAAAGAAUAUGGAGACUUCCAUUUUGAGCAGAACCCUCCAUUAUUCAACCUGCUGUUUGUCUGACCUGCCUCCUGUCCUCCAGGCCAUCAGACAAUGAUUCUUGAACUCGGGGUUAGCGCAGGGGUGAGGGUGGGCGGCUAGGAGAGAAGGUUGGUUCAAAUCCCCAGUCUCCCCAGGGUGGGGGGGGGGGUCUCUUUAGUCUGCAAAUUAGUGGAAGCACACAAUGGGGCAGGGAAGGGGUGCUGGCCACUUUGCUUCUUCACCAGCAUCAGAUCCCCAAAUGCAAAAGAAUAUGCUAGGGGCUUAGUGGCCUUAACAGCAAUAUCUAAGCCCUGGCUGAAAUGUUCUAUUACCCAUAUAUGCACAGUAUGUCUUACCUUUUCAAAUAAGGUCCAAACUUCCCUACCUUCCUGUCCCUAACACAGCCACCAAGAAAGAACAUUGAAAACACAAUGAAAAUAUCUCAUAUGAAAAAACUAAGCUAUUGUUUUUGAUAACGACAAGUUACCUCUUCAUAGUAUGUAAGAAUGGCUACAUUCCAAACCAAGGAAAUUUGAAAGCAAAAUUAA
Molecule: long non-coding RNA, 2211 nt
Organism: Herpailurus yagouaroundi (jaguarundi)
Lineage: Eukaryota; Metazoa; Chordata; Mammalia; Carnivora; Felidae
Exons: 3
Source: RefSeq, a predicted model, not a curated record